Cyanistes caeruleus (blue tit) is the source of this 4391-nucleotide long non-coding RNA. RefSeq lists it as uncharacterized. Lineage: Eukaryota; Metazoa; Chordata; Aves; Passeriformes; Paridae. The record is from RefSeq and is a predicted model, not a curated record.
AGACAGUGGAGAAGAUAUCCAGUGUUCAAGUCCCAGUGGAGUUUACUGGCUCAAUCCUAAUCCAUUUUCUCACUGCUGUCCCAGCCUACCUGCUAAAGGUGGUUCAUGGUAUGUGGAUGCUCAGUCAGCACCUGUGGUGCUGGACUGCUGUUGAACUGAGACCACUGUUUAUCAGUGGGAGAUGAUGUCUGCUUGGAGAAGACCCUCCAAGGUAGUUCCUAGAGUCCUGUGACACAGGGCAGGGUAGUUUAUACAGCCAGAUCAUUCAGAGGUGAGACAGGGCCUCUGAGUCCCAUAGAUCCCCUUGACAUUUUGUUUCUACCUGCUGUGAUUGUUUAAGGAAUAAGAAAAAAAGAUCAUCUUCCAAGUGUGGGGGGUGUGUGUGUGUCCAGAAGGAAUGAGCUGACUCUCUACUAACAAUCCUUUGACAUCCCAGUGUUUACCAGAAGAGGAACUAGUUCAUUCAAAGAAUCAGACUUUAGCUCUAGAGGAACAACUGCUUUGGGCUCUUCUCAGGCCUGACACAAAUACUUUGCCUGUUGUCCUGUACUGCUGUGACUGCAGAGAGUGUGUGUCCUUUCUCAUCCAGAGAGAAGGGGUUGUGUGGGGCCUUUGUGGCUAUUUCCCAUUUACCUUCUGAAAGGUUCUAUCCAUUUGAUAGAAAGGGUUGUCUGCUCCACUCCAGAUCCAGCUAAGUGCCUGAAGUUUAAUGAUACAUGAAGAGAAAGGUAGAUGCUACAUCUGUGAUCAGUCAGCUCUACAACAUGUAUACUCCAUACUGGAAACUAUACAGCUCAUGAUAUACAAAGCACAGGCUUUUCCCUUGGUCUUAAUGCAGAUAUCAAAGUACACCUGUAGACUCUGGGGUACAACCUGCAGGUGAAUUCUGUCUCAGUACUGCAGUGGAUUGAUUUAAAUGGUUCCACUUCCAGACAAAAGUCUAAGCACCACAGCAGGUUUAUGGGUUAACCUAAUACAAAGAAACACAAUUAUCUGGUCUAAUAUAUUAGGAGGGACUCUUAGAUACAUGUAGUACCAACAUAAGUCAGUGUCUGCCAUUAUAAAUUGCAGGCCCUCCAAAUGCAUGUUAUUGCUGAAAAAAAGGAAAAAAACCAGGAACCUGGGAGUAGCAUUCAUCAAACUACUUUGCAUUAUUAAACUUCCUCCCGUAAUGUCUCCACUUUGAUCCCUUCUCUGGCCAGAUUCACAUCUCAGCUCCUGAUUUCCACCAAGGAAAGUGUAUAGGGAAGCUGUGUGCCUGCAGUUUUCUUUUUCUAAGCUUUGUAGCGCGUUCUUGUGCUCUCAAUUCCGGAUAAUGCUGGACUCCUUUUAUCCAGCCCCUCCUCUUGCCCUUUCAAGUGAAAAGAAGACUCCUGUGCCCCCCCAUCAAAGUUAAAGGGAGGCUUUAGGGAGGAAGGCUCAGCACGCUGGGGCUCUUGAGCCUGUGUUUAAUCUCUUUCCCCGUUCCUGUGUGCCUCUGUGGCUUCCCUGCCAGUUUCUUUGUUGCCAAGUUUCUCAUUUCCUUUUAUUUGUGUGUGCGGGAGGUUGCCAGGCUCUCUGGAAUGCAUCUGAAGUCAUCUGGUGGGGACACGCCUCAGCCGCGGCCCGGGUGAUCCCUGAGCGGGCAGGCCGGAGCGGCCUCACCCGGCCGCAGGAGCCGGGCCGGCACAGAUCCACAGCCUGCAGCCGGAUGAGUUGCUGUAGGAUGGCAGAGCAGAAGGAAAGCACAUCAUCUAACCACUCUGAUUCUCCCCUGCUGCUGCUUGGCAUCCACACAUACUGUGUAUUGCAAGAGAAAAGCAGGACCUGGAAGCAAUCUGCUGAGGGUUUCAGAUUCUCUGUUCCUCUCUUCCAGUCCAUUAGGUCAGAAAGAGAAUGACUAUCAACAAGUGUUUCAUCUGGAAGCAUAGCCCUGGGAUUUCCCUAGAUUUUUACCCCAGCUUGAAUUUAAGACCAGUUUCCAGCUAUCAGUCAUUCUUGACUGAACUUAUAUUCUGAUUUUCCAGAGCUGAUUUCCACUGCCUGCUUCCUGCUCCCCUUAUAACGCCUCCUUUGCAUUUGGGGUGUGGUUUGUCAGGUCCCAGUACAGGAGAUGUUCCCACUUGUGCUGGGUACUGCUGCAUGGACACAACAUGGCUCUAAACUAUGAUACAGUUAUUGCUUGAAAAGCAAGGAGUUUUUUGCAGGGAAUUGGCCUGAAACUGCUUCUGAUCAACAUUUUAGAGACAGUGACAAUAAAAUGAAAAACUGCCAGAGAGGAUGCAAACUGGAAGAAGGUUGCUAGUUCUUUGGAGAUCAAGGUUGCUACUCAAAACAUUUCAGUUGGUAUGCUGGAGAAAUAAACUAAAUUUAGCAGGGGGAAGCAGUCUCUGCGUGGUCCUCUGCCGAUUGCAUCGGGAAAGUCAUUAAAAAGAAUUAAAAAGGAAACAGAAAGAGAUGGAAGAGGGGGAAAAAAAAAAACCCUACACAGCCCCAAACAUUUAUAAACUUGAACAAAAGAACAACAGGAUCUCUCUGCUCAAAGCCCUGGGCCACCUUCACCUUGACUGCAAAGGACUCCAGUGAUGUACUGGGAGAAUGGAAGAAAGCCUUGACUGUAUUUCUGCUGGGAUGGUGGUGAUAUGGUCACCACCAUGGCAGGACUGGUUGUGAAAGCUGUCAUCUGAUUGUUCAGAUGGGGAAAAAUAUAUAUAUAUAUAUAUAUAUACAGAAUGAAAUUAAUUACACAUGGUUGACUCAUCCAUCUUCUGAAAUUGGGUGUGGCUUGGUAUCCUGGUUUUUGGAAAGGGAACAAUAUGUGAGAUACCAUCCUGGGGGGCAGUGUCUGUCCUCCAUUUUGCUGUAGGAAAGUAUCAGUGUCUGUUAGAAACUGUUCUGGGGAGCAAAAGAAUGGGAUGGAGCACCUGGUUCCUCCUGUCCUGUCUCCCAGGAGGAUCUGUCUUCCAAGGUUAUGGUGUUGUGACUGGUCUGGGAAGAUCUGGUUUAUAAUCCAAAUUUGGUACCAUAAUGGUUUUCCCCAAAUAGUUGCUUAAAUUUUAAGUCUGUAUUGAGAUAUAGAAGUCUAGGCUCUUUCAGAGGCCAGCCACUCAUUUGUUCUGAAUCAUGACUAGACAUGGCAAAUCACCUUUAAAGGGCUUGAUAUUUGAGUUCUGGAUGAGUGCUUGCAACCUGGAGCCUGUAAAACUCUGUGGAGAGUUGUCCCAAGAUCCUCACCAUCUUUACUCCCUCAGCUUCAGCUUCAGUGCCAGUCUGUGCCUGCCUGAACAUGUCCUUUUAGGACUCUGGGGCAAAGGCAGAAAUUUUAAGAUAGCAGGGAGGUAAUUUUUGCUGCAGUGAGAGUGGCCUGUAGGCUGGGGACAGAGAUGGUGAUGGGAGAGGCUGGCAGAGAUUAGUUGAAGAAUCUCAUUCUGAAGCCCUACGGGCCACACACUUGCCUGGGUCUGACACAGUCACUGGUUCAGGUUCCUUCUCAAACCAUCACACAAACAGCAGCAUUUCCCCUGGGUUUAUUUCUGCAUGCUUCAGAUGAGUUGGAUUUUCUCACCCAAAGAUUGGCCUCAGGAAAGCUUCUGGACCAUUUUCCUAUUAGCCCUCCUUGUUAGACUCUCACUGAGGUAGUUUGUAGCUGCAGAUGUUCCUGUGCAUCGGUUACCAAGGCUUAGGCUACAACUGUUGCAGAAAUCCUUAAAUCUAGCACAGUGGAUCCCCGUGAACAUUGCGGAUUUGUUCAUUUAUGUCUCACCUGGUGUAGCACAAGCUGAGGCAGAACUCAAAAAGGCCAACACUGGGGAGGUUUGGAUCAUAUACUGAAAUGGGUUUAGCAGCUGCGCAAAGUAGAGUUUUCAUUGGUGGUGCCCUUAAUAGCUUGCAUUACCUUAUUUAUAUGUAUAUUCUGGAAUCUACUGUCUAUUAAUAUGGGUCUCUGCAUUUAUACGAUUAGCUGUAUUCUUCUAGGUGUAACAGUGUCUGUGCUGUUAAAACUUGCAGGUUUAUCUUCAUACAGAUUACCAAUAUUGGUGUAAAAUGCUAGCACUUUGAUGUACUUACAGCUGAUUUCUUGUUCACUGGCUGAUCCUGUGGAAAUACCUUGUUCCCAGAUAAGGUCAGGUGUCUCAGAGAGGAGCAGUUCCAAGGCUGUUCAGCAGGCUGGUAGCAUGAAGGUAGCUCUAAGGACAUCGUGUUGCCUGUGGUUGUCUCUCGUUGCCAGCUGGGAUAGCUCUUGGAGCUGGUGUUAAGUCAGUGCUUCUGACUGUGGAUAGCUAAUGCUUCUGGCUUGCCAUAAUGCUAUUCUGAAAUUCCACCUCCUGGAUCUGGACUUGAUCCAACUCACCCAAGUAUUUACACAUGCAACACCCACAUCUAGCUGUCAUGGUCCCAUUCUCUGCUGCAAU